GGGUGCGAUCAUACCAGCACUAAUGCACCGGAUCCCAUCAGAACUCCGUAGUUAAGCAUGCUUGGUCAAGAAUAGUUCUAAGAUGGGCUUGUCUUAUGACUUUCAUAGAUGCAGGCU
Molecule: ribosomal RNA, 117 nt
Filed under: Cephalotus follicularis
Lineage: Eukaryota; Viridiplantae; Streptophyta; Magnoliopsida; Oxalidales; Cephalotaceae
Source: RNAcentral